Molecule: ribosomal RNA, 487 nt
Filed under: Burkholderiaceae bacterium L380a_CBm
Lineage: Bacteria; Pseudomonadati; Pseudomonadota; Betaproteobacteria; Burkholderiales; Burkholderiaceae
Description: bacterial SSU rRNA
Rfam family: Bacterial small subunit ribosomal RNA
Source: RNAcentral
CGCCUGGGGAGUACGGUCGCAAGAUUAAAACUCAAAGGAAUUGACGGGGACCCGCACAANCGGUGGAUGAUGUGGAUUAAUUCGAUGCAACGCGAAAAACCUUACCUACCCUUGACAUGUACGGAAUCCUGCCGAGAGGUGGGAGUGCCCGAAAGGGAGCCGUAACACAGGUGCUGCAUGGCUGUCGUCAGCUCGUGUCGUGAGAUGUUGGGUUAAGUCCCGCAACGAGCGCAACCCUUGUCCCUAGUUGUCUACGCAAGAGCACUCCCAGGGAGACUGCCGGUGACAAACCGGAGGAAGGUGGGGAUGACGUCAAGUCCUCAUGGCCCUUAUGGGUAGGGCUUCACACGUCAUACAAUGGUCGGAACAGAGGGUUGCCAAGCCGCCGAGGUGGAGCCAAUCCCAGAAAACCGAUCGUAGUCCGGAUCGCAGUCUGCAACUCGAGCUGCGUGAAGUCUGGAAUCGCUAGUAAUCGCGGAUCAGCAUG